RNAcentral lists this long non-coding RNA (437 nucleotides) under Triticum aestivum (bread wheat). RNAcentral's name for it is "long non-coding RNA (TAES_LNC010972)". Lineage: Eukaryota; Viridiplantae; Streptophyta; Magnoliopsida; Poales; Poaceae. The record is from RNAcentral.
GUAUCACAAGAUAACCAAGGAAAUAAAUCAGUGGAUCAAGACGGCAGAAAGUUAUUCACAGCCAGAUAGCAAAGCAGACGGAUGUAAUCAGUGCCUCAAUUAACAUCUAAAGGACUAGAGGAUGCAAAAUGACUGCCCAUGUCGCAAAAUGACCACAAAAUGUAAACAGUGCCUCAUGACACAAAAGGAUCACAGGAUGUAAACAGGUGCCUCAUUCACAAAAGGACUACGAGAUGGGCUUAACAGAAGCAACUCCAAGUCAUGACUUGCGGCAAAAGUGACAUGGGACUAUUGUGCCAGCGACAGAACCUAAUAGAAAACUAGUGACCCGCCCUCCCCAUAGGUGCCGUGCACCAGCACAGCUGGAGCACCAUCCUUCAGCGAGUAGGUUCCAACCUUGCUCAUCAUAGACGCCCUCCUUGCGUCCCGGACAGAGC